RNAcentral lists this small RNA (83 nucleotides) under Marmota monax (woodchuck). Lineage: Eukaryota; Metazoa; Chordata; Mammalia; Rodentia; Sciuridae. The record is from RNAcentral.
GCCGGGCGUGGUGACGCACCCCUGUAACCCCAGUGACUUAGGAGGCUGAGGCAGGAGGAUCGCAAGUACAAAGCCAGCCUCAG